Acanthochromis polyacanthus (spiny chromis) is the source of this 912-nucleotide long non-coding RNA. RefSeq lists it as uncharacterized. The transcript has 2 exons. The record is from RefSeq and is a predicted model, not a curated record. Lineage: Eukaryota; Metazoa; Chordata; Actinopteri; Pomacentridae.
UCUUGUUUGGAGAGACAGGAAAGUGCUGCUGCUGCUGCUUGAGUGAUGUCAGUGUUUCACAUCGGUCUGUUCUCAUACAGCAGCUCAGAGAGAGGAGGACGGCAGCUGUGCGGUUUGGAUGAACACUUUCUCAGCGGUAAAAACAAGAGAAAGGAGAAAACCGUCGACACUCACCGACACACAGGAACAUAAACACUUUCUUUUUGAAGCUGUCGUGUCUGUCGUGGGAAAGUACUCCAGCCUCCACUGCUACGAAACGAGAAACAACCCACAGCCACAGAGCAGCCGAGCCUCCGGAUGCUGUACUUUUCCACUGGAACCAUGGUGUCAGCAGUCAUUAAGAUGUAUCUGUUUGGAUCGAUGAUUUCUGUCCUGGCGGUGUUUUAUGCGAUAGUGGACUCCUUCGGCGGCCUCAUGUACGUCCAAGAUCAUCACUACAGCCGACCGGUGGAUGUGAACCUUCAAAGUGAAAGGCAGCUCUCCUCAACCAGACACCGGAGAGAAGCGUCCGUGACCAGAAACAUCGGCUCAUGAGGAAGUUGUACUGCCUAACUUGUUGGACAAGCUCUGCACUUUGAAAAGGCACGGACUGUUUGUUGAUACGGACGCGCUGUCCCACAGGAUGUCUCUGUUUGUUCUAUUUUAUACCAUCAGCUGUCCAGAACUGCCGCAGAUAAUCUGUGUUGAAUCAACUACAGAUCUGACAUUGUAACAGCACUACUGAACAAUGACUUGCACUAAAACUUGAAAGUUUUGACUUUUUCUUUUUUCAAUAAAAUGAGUUAAACCAUUUUUUAAAAUUGAUGUAAUGAUUACAAGUUGACUUCUGCCUCUUCUCAGGAACAGGAGUCAUAGGUUGACUGUUCACUGGAAAAGUUGCAUGUCUGUCUCAGUAAAUACAAUUUAAAAACA